Molecule: ribosomal RNA, 1345 nt
Filed under: uncultured bacterium
Lineage: Bacteria
Description: bacterial SSU rRNA
Rfam family: Bacterial small subunit ribosomal RNA
Source: RNAcentral
GAUGAACGCUAGCGGGAGGCCUAACACAUGCAAGCCGAGCGGUAGAGAUCUUUCGGGAUCUUGAGAGCGGCGUACGGGUGCGGAACACGUGUGCAACCUGCCUUUAUCUGGGGGAUAGCCUUUCGAAAGGAAGAUUAAUACCCCAUAAUAUGUUGGAUGGCAUCAUUCGACAUUGAAAACUCCGGUGGAUAGAGAUGGGCACGCGCAAGAUUAGAUAGUUGGUGAGGUAACGGCUCACCAAGUCUGCGAUCUUUAGGGGGCCUGAGAGGGUGAUCCCCCACACUGGUACUGAGACACGGACCAGACUCCUACGGGAGGCAGCAGUGAGGAAUAUUGGACAAUGGGUGAGAGCCUGAUCUAGCCAUCCCGCGUGAAGGACGACGGCCCUAUGGGUUGUAAACUUCUUUUGUAUAGGGAUAAACCUACUCUCGUGAGAGUAGCUGAAGGUACUAUACGAAUAAGCACCGGCUAACUCCGUGCCAGCAGCCGCGGUAAUACGGAGGGUGCAAGCGUUAUCCGGAUUUAUUGGGUUUAAAGGGUCCGUAGGCGGAUCUGUAAGUCAGUGGUGAAAUCUCACAGCUUAACUGUGAAACUGCCAUUGAUACUGCAGGUCUUGAGUGUUGUUGAAGUAGCUGGAAUAAGUAGUGUAGCGGUGAAAUGCAUAGAUAUUACUUAGAACACCAAUUGCGAAGGCAGGUUACUAAGCAACAACUGACGCUGAUGGACGAAAGCGUGGGGAGCGAACAGGAUUAGAUACCCUGGUAGUCCACGCCGUAAACGAUGCUAACUCGUUUUUGGGCUUUCGGGUUCAGAGACUAAGCGAAAGUGAUAAGUUAGCCACCUGGGGAGUACGAACGCAAGUUUGAAACUCAAAGGAAUUGACGGGGGCCCGCACAAGCGGUGGAUUAUGUGGUUUAAUUCGAUGAUACGCGAGGAACCUUACCAAGGCUUAAAUGGGAAAUGACAGGUUUAGAAAUAGACUUUUCUUCGGACAUUUUUCAAGGUGCUGCAUGGUUGUCGUCAGCUCGUGCCGUGAGGUGUUAGGUUAAGUCCUGCAACGAGCGCAACCCCUGUCACUAGUUGCCAUCAUUAAGUUGGGGACUCUAGUGAGACUGCCUACGCAAGUAGAGAGGAAGGUGGGGAUGACGUCAAAUCAUCACGGCCCUUACGCCUUGGGCCACACACGUAAUACAAUGGCCGGUACAGAGGGCAGCUACACAGCGAUGUGAUGCAAAUCUCGAAAGCCGGUCUCAGUUCGGAUUGGAGUCUGCAACUCGACUCUAUGAAGCUGGAAUCGCUAGUAAUCGCGCAUCAGCCAUGGCGCGGUGAAUACGUUCCCGGGCCU